ACUCUUGCGCAGCAACAGUAUGAAAGAACAGUGUCGCAUCAGUGUCAAUGAGCUGCAUGUUGCUGUGGAUAAACCUCUCUGUAGCUGCAAAUGCCCUGAUGGUCACCACACCAAGAAUUGACUCCGAUGCAUAGUUCAUGACAGGUGCCUUUGUCGUUCCAUUGAUUCUUACUAGCUCUCUAGCUGAGGAUAUGUAGUACCUCUUCAUAUUUCAAAACCACGUGUUAGCUCAAAAACACUCAGCAUAUAUUUAUUUUAACUAACUAGAGUGAUUUCUUGCAGCAUUGUUCACUGACCUGAACAUAUACCAUUGCGAUUGUAACUGGGAUCGCUACAACCAAGACUUGCCAAGUUACAGUACCCAUGACCAGUACCGUUGUGACAACCUCGAUCCCGCCAGUAACAACAAAGGCCAUGGAGUAAGGUAUGUCGAAAUCCAGAAUGCUUAAAUCUGAAGAUGCCUGCACAGAACAGCACUUGUAUUUGAAGUUCUCUUUUCUGAAAACUUAGCGCAGCAUUUAUGAUCUUGUUUGUACAAAACAUGGUUAAAUAAAAUAAAAUCCCUACCCUUGUUAAAAUUCUUCCCACUGGUGUCGAGUCAAAAAAUGACAUGGGAGCCUUAAAUACAGAAUCCAUUAGCCCGCUGAAGAAUGCUUUGGAGGCCUUGAGCCCCAGAAUAGCUGCGAAAAGACUUCUAAAGUAUGCAAAGAAGCAGCUGAAGAUAGAAAGGCCAGAAUAGGCCCCAACUAGGAGUGCAGCACUGAUGUUAUCCAUCU
Molecule: long non-coding RNA, 776 nt
Filed under: Setaria italica (foxtail millet)
Lineage: Eukaryota; Viridiplantae; Streptophyta; Magnoliopsida; Poales; Poaceae
Description: long non-coding RNA (SITA_LNC003278)
Source: RNAcentral